UGGGGAAUAUUGGACAAUGGGGGCAACCCUGAUCCAGCCAUGCCGCGUGAGUGAUGAAGGCCUUCGGGUUGUAAAGCUCUUUUGGUGGGGACGAUGAUGACGGUACCCACAGAAUAAGCUCCGGCUAACUUCGUGCCAGCAGCCGCGGUAAUACGAAGGGAGCUAGCGUUGUUCGGAAUUACUGGGCGUAAAGGGCGCGUAGGCGGUAAGACAAGUCAGGUGUGAAAGCCCUGGGCUCAACCCAGGAAUUGCGCUUGAUACUGUUUUUCUUGAAUUCGGGAGAGGUUGGUGGAAUUCCCAGUGUAGAGGUGAAAUUCGUAGAGAUUGGGAAGAACACCCGUGGCGAAGGCGGCCAACUGGACCGACAUUGACGCUGAGGCGCGAAAGCGUGGGGAGCAAACA
Molecule: ribosomal RNA, 402 nt
Filed under: uncultured prokaryote
Description: bacterial SSU rRNA
Rfam family: Bacterial small subunit ribosomal RNA
Source: RNAcentral